GGAAGUAAAAGUCGUAACAAGGUUUCCGUAGGUGAACCUGCGGAAGGAUCAUUACUGAUUUAGCGAACCGAGCAUUAGCGAGGUUUUGCGAUCAAUUUAUAUUUAAAACCCACUCUUUAAUGUAUAAAAUUUGUAUUAAUGAUAAAUUAAAAGAUCACUUUCAACAACGGAUCUCUUGGCUCUCGCAUCGAUGAAGAACGUAGCGAAGUGCGAUAAGUAAUGUGAAUUGCAGUAUUCCGUGAAUCAUCGAAUCUUUGAACGCAUAUUGCACUUUCUGGUAUUCCGGAAAGUAUGCCUGUUUGAGGGUCAGUUAAAUAAAAAUCGGUGUUGUUGCCGCUUUUCGAGGUGACGCGUCGGAAUUGAGUUGUCUUACCUUCGGUUAAGUGACUUAAAAUUUUGUAUGAUUUUCGAACGUAUUUAAAUUUAUUUGAACGUUUGAUAUCGAAUGCUUAUUAGGUUCGGUCAUCCUCAUGACUCGCGCCUAUAAUUUUUCAUUAAAUGACCUCAAAUCAGGUAAGAAUACCCGCUGAACUUAAGCAUAUCAAUAAGCGGAGGA
This 556-nucleotide ribosomal RNA is filed under the name uncultured Glomus. RNAcentral describes it as "eukaryotic LSU rRNA". The stretch from base 156 to 309 matches the Rfam family "5.8S ribosomal RNA". The record is from RNAcentral. Lineage: Eukaryota; Fungi; Glomeromycota; Glomeromycetes; Glomerales; Glomeraceae.